Bombyx mori (domestic silkworm) is the source of this 711-nucleotide long non-coding RNA. RefSeq lists it as uncharacterized. The transcript has 2 exons. NCBI's taxonomy places the organism in Eukaryota, Metazoa, Arthropoda, Insecta, Lepidoptera, Bombycidae. The record is from RefSeq and is a predicted model, not a curated record.
CUGCUCCACGGCAGAAAUAGGCAGGGUGGUGGUACCCGUGUGGACUCACAGAGGAUUAUGGUGGUAUAAUUAUCACAAGAGGUCCUACCACUAGUAAUUACGCAAAUUAUAAUUUUUGCGAGUUUGAUUUUUAUAAGGUACACGAUGUUAUUCCUUCACCGUGGAAGUCAAUCGUGAACAUUGGUUAAGUACGUACGUAUUUGGUACAUUGGAUAAAAUUGGGACCCGCCGCGCCGGCGGGAUUCGAACACCGGUGCAUCGCUAGAUACGAAUGCACCGGACGUCUUAUCUUUUAGGCCACGACGACUUCGAAUAUAAAGUUUAAUGUUUUCAUUGACGUUGUUGGUGACUGAUAUAUGUAUUACCAAUGAUGUUAUAGUAAAAAGAGGUAGAUAAGUUACUUGAGUUCGUAAAGUGGCGCCGUAAAACUGAGCUAAUUAGCGCACUCAAGCUUAGUCUCGUGAAAGCAUUGGUAACGUUGACUGUGUUUUUUGUUCCGCGAAAUUUCUUUAAAAUGACGUCCUGUGUUAUGCGACACUGUAGAAACUAUACAAGUAAGCCUCCCAAAAGUCUAGGGAUGACAUGUCAUGCGUUUCCGGCAAAUGAAUUAAGGUGUAACCAAUGGAUAAAUAUUGUACAUAGACAAAGACAUGAAGAGGAUUGGCGGCCAAAUAAUAAUGAACUAAAUGAAAAUAAAAAAAUAAAAUUAUA